AUGAUGGCCGCCGCCGGCGCUGUGACCAGGAGGAGCAUGCCCUUGUUCGACGGCAGCGUGUUCCUUGGCGACGUCGACGUGCUCUUCCCACCAGGAACUGAAAGCGCAUCGUCAUCUUGCAUGGAUCUCCGCCAACCGGCCGUGUUCCCCAGGAACGAGAUCCGGAUCAGCUGCCGGUCGCCGGCGAGCGAGAGGUGCCCUCCGCUGGCCGUGCUACAGGUGAUCAGCGCCUACUCUUUGCGCUGCAAGCUCCAGGCCAAAGCAGCGGAUCUCCAUCCCACAUCCCUCCUGCACAGGCUCCACGACUCCUGCUGGAAGAAGGGCAUGACUGCUGUGGUGGAGGCCGGAGAGGAGGAAUUACACCUCAUUGCGAUGCAAAGCAAGCAGGUGAAAGCGGAAAUGUUCGAAAGACGUUUGGACAAGAUUAUGUCAGGCUUGGACGAUUCAGAGCUUGAUGCUGCUAACGAAUCAGCAAUGUCCGACGAGUUCAAUCGGACUUUUAACGAUAAACAGUUGCUUGUCGAUUUCAACGAAACAGAUUCCAAGAAGUCACUUGAACUUGUGUUUCGAGAUAGCUUAUGUCAUCCAAGUAUGGCCAUGGUGCUUGAUGACCGUAGGGAUGUUUGGGAUGAGAGAGAUAAACGACGAGUUUUUGUAGCGCCACCUUACAAACCAUUAUUUGCCCCUGAAGACAAGGUGGCGAAUGGUCAUAGUGCGCUUCAUACUCUAACAAAUAUUGCAUGCCAUGCCCGCAAAGGAUUCUUCAGUGAUUUUGAUGGGAUGCUACUGAAAAAUAUAAACGAACUAAUGUAUGAAAAUGAGGUAUUGGAUCUUCCAUACAACCCAGAUGUUAGUGACUACUUACAGUUAAAGAACAAUAGUACUGCAAGACAUAGUAUUGCUCCUAUGGUACGUAGCUGA
This 921-nucleotide ribosomal RNA is filed under the name Triticum aestivum (bread wheat). Its description in RNAcentral is "partial small subunit ribosomal RNA". The record is from RNAcentral. Lineage: Eukaryota; Viridiplantae; Streptophyta; Magnoliopsida; Poales; Poaceae.